RNAcentral lists this unclassified non-coding RNA (336 nucleotides) under soil metagenome. RNAcentral describes it as "partial contains 5.8S ribosomal RNA, internal transcribed spacer 2, and large subunit ribosomal RNA". The stretch from base 1 to 120 matches the Rfam family "5.8S ribosomal RNA", at positions 35 to 154 of the family's 154-position model. The record is from RNAcentral.
GAUGAAGAACGUAGCGAAAUGCGAUAAGUAAUGUGAAUUGCAGAAUUCAGUGAAUCAUCGAAUCUUUGAACGCACAUUGCGCCCGCCAGUAUUCUGGCGGGCAUGCCUGUUCGAGCGUCAUUUCAACCAUCAAGCCCCCGGCUUGUGUUGGGGACCUGCGGCUGCCGCAGGCCCUGAAAACCAGUGGCGGGCUCGCUAGUCACUCCGAGCGUAGUAAUAGAUCUCGCUCAGGGCGUGCUGCGGGUUCCGGCCGUUAAAAAAGCCUUAUUUACCCAAGGUUGACCUCGGAUCAGGUAGGAAGACCCGCUGAACUUAAGCAUAUCAAUAAGCGGAGGA